Small nuclear RNA from Tupaia belangeri (northern tree shrew), 192 nucleotides. Its record names the gene U2. It matches the Rfam family "U2 spliceosomal RNA". Rfam says of the family: U2 is a small nuclear RNA (snRNA) component of the spliceosome (involved in pre-mRNA splicing). Complementary binding between U2 snRNA (in an area lying towards the 5' end but 3' to hairpin I) and the branchpoint sequence (BPS) of the intron results the bulging out of an unpaired adenosine, on the BPS, which initiates a nucleophilic attack at the intronic 5' splice site, thus starting the first of two transesterification reactions that mediate splicing. Lineage: Eukaryota; Metazoa; Chordata; Mammalia; Scandentia; Tupaiidae. The record is from Ensembl.
AAUGCUUCUUGGCUUUUUGGCUCAGGUCAAGCAGAGAAUCUGCUUUUAUCUGCUAAUAUCUGCUAAGUUCUCCACCCAAGGACAAUUAGCAAGGGGAUUUCUGGAGCAAGGAGAUGGGAGAAAAGCUUGCUUUACCUACCCACUUCACACACUGACCUGGUACUGUAGACUCUCAGGUACUGCAGAAUUUUA